Molecule: unclassified non-coding RNA, 230 nt
Filed under: uncultured fungus
Lineage: Eukaryota; Fungi
Description: sequence contains ITS1, 5.8S rRNA gene
Rfam family: 5.8S ribosomal RNA (bases 182-230)
Source: RNAcentral
UUUCCGUAGGUGAACCUGCGGAAGGAUCAUUAAAGAGUAAGGGUGCUCAGCGCCCGACCUCCAACCCUUUUGUGAACCACCUCGUUGCUUCGGGGGCGACCCUGCCGUUCGCGGCGUGGGGCCCCCGGAGCCCAUCAAACCCUGCGUAACUAAGUCGUCGGAGUUUAAACAAAUUAAACAAAACUUUCAACAACGGAUCUCUUGGUUCGGGCAUCGAUGAAGAACGCAGC